RNAcentral lists this ribosomal RNA (645 nucleotides) under uncultured marine eukaryote. RNAcentral's name for it is "SSU rRNA". It matches the Rfam family "Eukaryotic small subunit ribosomal RNA", at positions 617 to 1275 of the family's 1831-position model. The record is from RNAcentral.
AGUUAAAAAGCUCGUAGUCGGAUUUCAGUAUUGGGCCCUUCUUCCAAUACGGUUGCUAGUGGUCUUUACUUCCUUAACAGAAUCUUUCAUCUCAUUAAUUUGGGGUGUUUGGGGCCUGUUUCUUUUACUUUGAGAAAAUUAGAGUGUUCAAAGCGGGUUUUCGCCUGGAUAUUACUCUUGGAAUAAUAAUAUAGGACUUUGGUUCUUUUUUGUUGGUGACUUAGAACCGAAGUAAUGAUUGAUAGGGACAGUUGGGGUCAUUCGUACUAUGAAGCGAGAGGUGAAAUUCAUGGACCUUUGUAUGACGAACCACUGCGAAAGCAUUUGACUAGGAUGUUCCCGUUGAUCAAGAACGAAAGUUGGGGGAUCGAAGACGAUCAGAUACCGUCGUAGUCUCAACCAUAAACUAUGCCAGCUAGGGAUUGGAGGAAGAUCAUUUUACGUCUCCUUCAGCACCUUAUGAGAAAUCAAAGCAUUUGGGUUCCGGGGGGAGUAUGGUCGCAAGGCUGAAGCUUAAAGGAAUUGACGGGAGGGCACCACCAGGAGUGGAGCCUGCGGCUUAAUUUGAUUCAACACGGGAAAACUUACCAGGUCCGGACAUGGGAAGGAUUGACAGAUUGAAAGCUCUUUCUUGAUUCUAUGGGU